GACGAACGCUGGCGGCGUGCCUAAUACAUGCAAGUAGAACGCUGAAGAGAGGAGCUUGCUCUUCUUGGAUGAGUUGCGAACGGGUGAGUAACGCGUAGGUAACCUGCCUUGUAGCGGGGGAUAACUAUUGGAAACGAUAGCUAAUACCGCAUAACAAUGGAUGACACAUGUCAUUUAUUUGAAAGGGGCAAUUGCUCCACUACAAGAUGGACCUGCGUUGUAUUAGCUAGUAGGUGAGGUAACGGCUCACCUAGGCGACGAUACAUAGCCGACCUGAGAGGGUGAUCGGCCACACUGGGACUGAGACACGGCCCAGACUCCUACGGGAGGCAGCAGUAGGGAAUCUUCGGCAAUGGGGGCAACCCUGACCGAGCAACGCCGCGUGAGUGAAGAAGGUUUUCGGAUCGUAAAGCUCUGUUGUAAGUCAAGAACGAGUGUGAGAGUGGAAAGUUCACACUGUGACGGUAGCUUACCAGAAAGGGACGGCUAACUACGUGCCAGCAGCCGCGGUAAUACGUAGGUCCCGAGCGUUGUCCGGAUUUAUUGGGCGUAAAGCGAGCGCAGGCGGUUUGAUAAGUCUGAAGUUAAAGGCUGUGGCUCAACCAUAGUUCGCUUUGGAAACUGUCAAACUUGAGUGCAGAAGGGGAGAGUGGAAUUCCAUGUGUAGCGGUGAAAUGCGUAGAUAUAUGGAGGAACACCGGUGGCGAAAGCGGCUCUCUGGUCUGUAACUGACGCUGAGGCUCGAAAGCGUGGGGAGCGAACAGGAUUAGAUACCCUGGUAGUCCACGCCGUAAACGAUGAGUGCUAGGUGUUGGAUCCUUUCCGGGAUUCAGUGCCGCAGCUAACGCAUUAAGCACUCCGCCUGGGGAGUACGACCGCAAGGUUGAAACUCAAAGGAAUUGACGGGGGCCUGCACAAGCGGUGGAGCAUGUGGUUUAAUUCGAAGCAACGCGAAGAACCUUACCAGGUCUUGACAUCCCGAUGCUAUUUCUAGAGAUAGAAAGUUACUUCGGUACAUCGGUGACAGGUGGUGCAUGGUUGUCGUCAGCUCGUGUCGUGAGAUGUUGGGUUAAGUCCCGCAACGAGCGCAACCCCUAUUGUUAGUUGCCAUCAUUCAGUUGGGCACUCUAGCGAGACUGCCGGUAAUAAACCGGAGGAAGGUGGGGAUGACGUCAAAUCAUCAUGCCCCUUAUGACCUGGGCUACACACGUGCUACAAUGGUUGGUACAACGAGUUGCGAGUCGGUGACGGCAAGCUAAUCUCUUAAAGCCAAUCUCAGUUCGGAUUGUAGGCUGCAACUCGCCUACAUGAAGUCGGAAUCGCUAGUAAUCGCGGAUCAGCACGCCGCGGUGAAUACGUUCCCGGGCCU
Molecule: ribosomal RNA, 1369 nt
Filed under: uncultured bacterium
Lineage: Bacteria
Description: bacterial SSU rRNA
Rfam family: Bacterial small subunit ribosomal RNA
Source: RNAcentral